This 253-nucleotide ribosomal RNA is filed under the name uncultured bacterium. Its description in RNAcentral is "partial 16S ribosomal RNA". It matches the Rfam family "Bacterial small subunit ribosomal RNA", at positions 524 to 776 of the family's 1533-position model. The record is from RNAcentral.
AACGUAGGAGACAAACGUUAUCCGGAGUUACUGGGCGUAAAGGGCGUGUAGGUGGUUUCGUAAGUCUGGCGUGAAAUUUUUCGGCUUAACCGGGAAAGGUCGUCGGAUACUGCGGAACUAGAGGACGGUAGAGGCGUGUGGAAUUCCGGGUGUAGUGGUGAAAUGCGUAGAGAUCCGGAGGAACACCAGUGGCGAAGGCGACACGCUGGGCCGUACCUGACACUGAUGCGCGACAGCAUGGGGAGCAAACAGG